Molecule: ribosomal RNA, 300 nt
Filed under: uncultured Sporichthyaceae bacterium
Lineage: Bacteria; Bacillati; Actinomycetota; Actinomycetes; Sporichthyales; Sporichthyaceae
Description: bacterial SSU rRNA
Rfam family: Bacterial small subunit ribosomal RNA
Source: RNAcentral
CACGUGGGCAACCUGCCCUCAGCUCUGGGAUAACUCCGGGAAACCGGUGCUAAUACUGGAUAGGACUUCGCAUCGCAUGGUGUGGGGUGGAAAGUUUUUCGGCUGAGGAUGGGCCCGCGGCCUAUCAGCUUGUUGGUGGGGUGAUGGCCUACCAAGGCGACGACGGGUAGCCGGCCUGAGAGGGCGACCGGCCACACUGGGACUGAGACACGGCCCAGACUCCUACGGGAGGCAGCAGUGGGGAAUAUUGCGCAAUGGGCGGAAGCCUGACGCAGCGACGCCGCGUGAGGGAUGACGGCC